This is a non-coding RNA of Bacteroides helcogenes P 36-108, 396 nucleotides long. It matches the Rfam family "transfer-messenger RNA". From Rfam's summary of the family: Bacterial tmRNA, also known as 10Sa RNA or SsrA, is named for its dual tRNA and mRNA-like properties. Its role is to liberate the mRNA from a stalled ribosome. The record is from Rfam. NCBI's taxonomy places the organism in Bacteria, Pseudomonadati, Bacteroidota, Bacteroidia, Bacteroidales, Bacteroidaceae.
GGGCUUGACUGGAUUUGACAGCGGGCAGAAAUGGUAAGUAAGCAUGCAGUGCGUUGUUGAUUUGCACUUAAAUCUCAGUCUUCAAAAUUUUAUCUGGCGAAAACAAUUACGCUCUUGCUGCUUAAUCGAAUCACAGUAGAUUAGCUUAAUCCCGGCACAAGGUGCUGGGACGGGACAUCACUCGGAAGCUGUUGCUCCGAAGCAUUCCGGUAAAGUGGUGCAGUUACAUCGGGGAUAGUUUGCACUUGCCUUGAAGUGCGAAUGAAAUUUAGAGGAUAAGGUGACGGUUGAUGGCUUUGGUUCUGCCGCCACACGAAAACUUAGGCAAAGAUAAGCAUGUAGAAAGCUUAUGAUUUCCUCGUUUGGACGAGGGUUCGAUUCCCUCCAGGUCCACGU